This is a non-coding RNA of Salvelinus sp. IW2-2015, 670 nucleotides long. Lineage: Eukaryota; Metazoa; Chordata; Actinopteri; Salmoniformes; Salmonidae. The record is from RefSeq and is a predicted model, not a curated record.
UGUGGCGUCAAUGGAGUGCGUUAGUGAGAUCUUUCACAUUUCUUCUUCAUUAUGGAGAAUUACUWGUUCUGAAAACKAACGUUUCUCCGUCUCAUAAUUUWAUYCAAUUAAUUCAGGUUUGGAUGAACGGACCAACGGGACUGCCAUGGGCAAGUCCCUUGACGGGUACCAGGAAUUGUAGAAGGACAACCAGAAGAUGUGGUGGAAGUUGUCGAACCAGAUCAGAACGCCUUCGAGGACCACCUCCAUGCAAGGAUGUGGAGGUUUUUGACCAGGUGAGACUGAACAUGGACAAGGCGCAUGAGAAAAAGGAGAGUCACCGGAGGAGAAUCAAGGGGACCAAAUGCUUCGACAUCUGGGCGAAUGACUUGGCUUGGAAGAAGGACGAAAGGAAAGUGAGACCUGGGAAAGCUUGGUGCUCUUUUGCUCCUAGCUGGGGUCAACAUCCGUUAAGGGACCAUCCCUUACCUCCCUCAUCAACCCCACUGACAUAAAAAAUUGACAUGUAUCCUUUCUUUUCUGUCUGCCAUUAACAUUAUUGCAUGUCUAAUCAAACAGUUAAAUUAAAUCAUUCAAUAACUGUAUUUUGACAUACAUGAUAAUCCUUUKACCUGUGUGUUGGCUUGUUUACGUAUGUCUCUCCUACCUUUUUCCCUUUACUCUGCUCCUG